Long non-coding RNA from Oncorhynchus keta (chum salmon), 676 nucleotides. RefSeq lists it as uncharacterized. The transcript has 3 exons. The record is from RefSeq and is a predicted model, not a curated record. Lineage: Eukaryota; Metazoa; Chordata; Actinopteri; Salmoniformes; Salmonidae.
AUGCAAAAUAACUGCCAAUUUGAGGAGGACAUAAAAAGCUUUGGUUUGUUUAUCCCCUUGUUAAAAUCUAUUUUGGAUCAACCAUUACGAGUUCUGUACUGAAGUAUAACCUCUGUGGCUUCCUCCAAUAUCUAGAGAUAUUAAGGGUCAAAGGUCAGGGAUAGUUAGAGAUAUUAUAGAUAAGGUAUUUUUUUGUUCAAGCAGAGAGAUGAAUAAAAAAGAAUGAUGGAUGUAAAUAUGGUUAGUAAGAACACAUUGGUCCUGUUUAAAUGUAAAAUAAGGUUAAUAAGAACACAUUGGUCCUGUUUAAAUGUAAAAUAAGGUUAAUAAGAACACAUUGGUCCUGUUUAAAUGUAAAAUAAGGUUAAUAAGAACACAUUGGUCCUGUUUAAAUGUAAAAUAAGGUUAGUAAGAACACAUUGGUCCUGUUUAAAUGUAAAAUAAGGUUAAUAAGAACACAUUGGUCCUGUUUAAAUGUAAAAUAAGGUUAAUAAGAACACAUUGGUCCUGUUUAAAUGUAAAAUAAGGUUAAUAAGAACACAUUGGUCCUGUUUAAAUGUAAAAUAAGGUUAAUAAGAACACAUUGGUCCUGUUUAAAUGUAAAAUAAGGUUAAUAAGAACACAUUGGUCCUGUUUAAAUGUAAAAUAAGGUUAGUAAGAACACAUUGGUCCUGUU